UCAGAGAAGGAGGUGGAGCUCUAGCGAAGGGCCUGUUUAGAGGAGUCACAGGCAUAUUGACAAAGCCCCUCGAAGGUGCAAAGUCUUCUGGUGUCGAAGGCUUUGUAUCAGGUUUUGGGAAAGGAAUUAUUGGUGCUGCUGCCCAACCUGUGAGUGGAGUUCUGGAUCUUUUGUCGAAAACCACUGAAGGUGCAAAUGCCAUGAGGAUGAAGAUAGCAGCAGCCAUCACUUCAGAUGAACAACUUCUUCGCCGGAGACUUCCAAGAGCCGUUGGUGCUGAUAGCCUGCUUCGUCCAUACAACGAAUACAGAGCACAGGGGCAGGUACAAUUAUACUCAGGAAUCGAUUUAUACAUGCAUUCCACUAGUCAUUCCUUUCUUGGUUAGCUGAUGAACCGAUUAUUAGUUUGAUUCACCUAGAACACGAUGGUACUUUAUGCAAAGUUCUGAAUUCAUAUUUGGUAUGUGGUCUUUUCCCUUUGCAAUUGGUGGUCAUGUGUAAAAGUUCCAUAUAUUCAUUUGCUAUGAUCAUGAAUUGGCAUUCACUCUUAUCAGAUUCUGUUAGUUAUAUACCCAAAGUACGCUGGGACUAAUGCUGAAUGCUAAUUGUCCUAUAGGUUCAAACUAAGGAUGCAAGGAAUACAAGUGGACAACCAAUUGCCAUUGGCUCCAAUGCCGGUUCUGUUCAGACCACAGAGAACUGGAGAUAAAGCUGAUAACAUUCUGAAGUUUUCGGUUACUUUGCAGUCAAAUGCUGGUCUCGAUCUCCGUGUCUUCCCGUAUAUAGGUUUCCAGGGACGUGAAAAUACGGCCUUUCUAAUUAACAUUCACGAACCUAUAAUCUGGCGCAUUCAUGAGAUGAUUCAGCAAGCCAACUUGAGUAGACUUUCAGAUUCUGGGUCGACAGCUGUAUCAGUUGAUCCAUUCAUUCAAAUCGGGUAUGCACACAGUUAGUUCCUGAUAUCAAUAUUUACUGGAUCAGUCUAUUCACAACAAUUUCUUAUAUGGUUACGUGCCUCCAAAAAUGCAGGGUUCUUAACAUCUCAGAAGUUAGAUUUAAAGUGUCCAUGGCCAUGUCCCCAAGUCAAAGGCCGAGGGGAGUUCUUGGAUUUUGGUCAUCCCUGAUGACUGCUCUUGGGAAUACCGAAAACAUGCCAGUAAGUUUUCGAUAGUAACUCAUUUCUUAUAACGCAGGGUAACUAAACAAUAAUGACCUCUGUGUUUCACGCGAUUAGCCUAUUAAAUUUUAAAAUAUUGGGCCUACUAGUAUGUAAAUUGACUCAGAGAUUAUGUAGUAUUUACGCGACUCUGGAUGUCCUGACUUUUGUGUCCAUAAUUUAAUUUUGACCAUUAGUUUUUAUUCGAAGGAUUACUAUUGUGAUUAUACUCAACGAGUUUCAAAGCGUUUAGAAUUUUAUUUGUCAAUGUCCCAAUCACUAACUUUCGAUCCAGUCCAGCUAAGCUGAACAUUCUUUUUCUUUUUUGCUGAUCUUCUAACAGGUACGCAUAAGUGAAAGAUUUAGUGAGAACAUAUCCAUGCGACAAAGUACUAUGAUCAAUAAUGCUAUUAGGAACGUAAAGAAAGACCUACUUGGCCAGCCUCUUCAGUUGCUCUCAGGUGUUGACAUUCUUGGCAAUGCAAGCAGCGCGCUUGGACAUAUGAGUCAAGGCAUAGCUGCAUUAUCAAUGGACAAAAAAUUCAUCCAAAGUCGACAGAGACAGGUUCGUUCCUGGCUUUGAUUUUGCUCCUACAUGUUGCUGUUUCAGUUGCUUCUGAUACCCAACGAAAGUAUGGGCUUGCCAGUUUUUCUUUCAUGUGCCUCCUUUUGUUAUUACAUGCUAAUGUUUGUUCUAUCAUUUGGCAGGAGAGCAAAGGUGUUGAGGACUUUGGCGACAUUAUCAGAGAAGGAGGUGGAGCUCUAGCGAAGGGCCUGUUUAGAGGAGUCACAGGCAUAUUGACAAAGCCCCUCGAAGGUGCAAAGUCUUCUGGUGUCGAAGGCUUUGUAUCAGGUUUUGGGAAAGGAAUUAUUGGUGCUGCUGCCCAACCUGUGAGUGGAGUUCUGGAUCUUUUGUCGAAAACCACUGAAGGUGCAAAUGCCAUGAGGAUGAAGAUAGCAGCAGCCAUCACUUCAGAUGAACAACUUCUUCGCCGGAGACUUCCAAGAGCCGUUGGUGCUGAUAGCCUGCUUCGUCCAUACAACGAAUACAGAGCACAAGGGCAG
RNAcentral lists this long non-coding RNA (2221 nucleotides) under Brassica napus (rape). RNAcentral describes it as "long non-coding RNA (BNAP_LNC006561)". Lineage: Eukaryota; Viridiplantae; Streptophyta; Magnoliopsida; Brassicales; Brassicaceae. The record is from RNAcentral.